CAAGAAUACGACUUCCACCUAAAGUCAUUACACGGAUUAUCCCCUAUGCAGGGAAGCGUCACAGGAAUAAAACCAUGGAGCUUUCUCAAGCUCUCUUCUUCUCAUGUAAAGGGCUCAAGCCAAUAUCGAACCACAGCUAUAAGGAGAGCUUCUGCAUCCCUCACGUCUUGCUUCACUGAAAGAAGCGAAGCCGUUUCAAUCCAGCCUCUUUUAAAAGUCACUUUAAACCAGGAAUGCUGGUUCCUUAUUUAUAUUACAUAAGAGGGUAUGGGUCAGAGAGGGUAUGGGGGUACGGCUCAGAGAAACCACAUACCCUGAAAGCAUGAAGAUAACGAGAUGGGAAAUGAAGGCCUUUUGGAAAGCAGAAUGUAUUACUCAAUGCAGCUGCAAUAGUUGUAUUUACACCAAAGCUACUAUGCUAAGCCAAUUGGCAAUAGUGUGAGCCUUUCCGACUGAUUAUUUAUUAAUGCUACCAUAUUUGAAAUAUUAUUUAUUACACCUGAA
This is a long non-coding RNA of Hemicordylus capensis (graceful crag lizard), 504 nucleotides long. RefSeq lists it as uncharacterized. The record is from RefSeq and is a predicted model, not a curated record. The transcript is spliced from 2 exons. Lineage: Eukaryota; Metazoa; Chordata; Lepidosauria; Squamata; Cordylidae.